RNAcentral lists this ribosomal RNA (660 nucleotides) under Triticum aestivum (bread wheat). RNAcentral describes it as "partial small subunit ribosomal RNA". The record is from RNAcentral. Lineage: Eukaryota; Viridiplantae; Streptophyta; Magnoliopsida; Poales; Poaceae.
AUGCGCGAGCUCCGCCUCGCCGUUCAUCUCUUCCACUGGCGGAUCCCAGUCCCGCGUUGGCCUCGCCGUUCGGGUCCGCACCAAGCUCCGACGACCUCGCACCGUUACACCCGGGAACUCAUCCCCGACUUCCCGGCUUCCUCCGCGUCCCCUGGCUACCUCUGUCUGCAUCGAGUAGCAGCAGCUCAUCGCUCAGCGCCAUGGCCCCCGCGCCCUCAAGCUCCUGCGCCACUUUGCCUCGGCCAUCCGACCCCAAGCCACCACCUCGCACCGCGGUCUUCAUCCGCUAAGGACGCCAAGACCCUUCUGUGGAUGCGUCAAGUACCCCUGCCGCGUCUACGAAAUCGCCAAGAACAGAUACUGCGACUACCGGUGUUUUCAAAGACUGCCAAAUACCGCUUUGUCAGGCGCUUGAAUGACUAUCACACCAGAACACCAAGUACAUGGAUACACCGAGUUCCCCUUCGACCGUGUACAACUGCUCACGCUAAAGACCACGUGUACCUCUAUCAUUGCGAAGUACCUCUUGGAUCAGACAAGUACCCCGAUGACAUGUGUACCACUAUGUCCGAAGACCUUGGAUGCACCAAGUUCCACUACAAUAUGUACCACUACCGUCGACCCGCGAAGACCCAGUGGACGCCAAGUCCCGUGUCGUGA